Molecule: unclassified non-coding RNA, 338 nt
Filed under: soil metagenome
Description: partial contains 5.8S ribosomal RNA, internal transcribed spacer 2, and large subunit ribosomal RNA
Rfam family: 5.8S ribosomal RNA (bases 1-120)
Source: RNAcentral
GAUGAAGAACGCAGUGAAAUGCGAUACGUAGUGUGAAUUGCAGAAUUCAGUGAAUCAUCGAAUCUUUGAACGCACAUUGCACCUCUCGGUAUUCCGGGAGGUAUGCCUGUUCGAGCGUCAUUUGUACCCUCAAGCUCUGCUUGGUGUUGGGUGUUUGUUCCGCCUCUGUGUGUGAACUCGCCUCAAAACAAUUGGCAGCCGGCGUACUUGUUUCGGAGCGCAGCACAUUUUGCGAUCCAGAUCAACGUACAGCGGCAUCCAAGAAGCCUUAUUUAACGCUCUUGACCUCGGAUCAGGUAGGGAUACCCGCUGAACUUAAGCAUAUCAAUAGCGGAGGA